CUGUCCCUUUUGGAAUAAACCAAAGCAACAUGUACUCAUGCAUACAAGCUAUUAAAACCGAGCCGCAGUUUGCCACUGGAACCAUGGUGGCGGCGGUCAUCCCCUUGUACUUCUUUGGAACGGCGCUGAGCGUCCUCGCAGUCCUCUACGGGAUUGUGGACUCCUUUGGGGGGCUGAUGUACGUCCAGGACUGUCCCCACGUCAUGGACUUUGACUGGCAGACGCAGUGGCAGCUCUCCCCGGGCCGCCAACGGAGAGCAUCUCCUCCGGCCAAGAACGUCGGCUCGUGAGGGGACGCGUCUCGUGUUUUAUUUUGCUGCUGGCUGGACCAUGUGGCCAACGGAUGGAUAUUCAGGACAUCUGACUCUCGUCUGCGCUGAACGGAUUGUUUGAACCAUGUCCACGGGUUCCAGAGAGCUCCCACGUCUGCGCGCGGUGCCUUCAAACGCGGCUCGCGGGCAAACUUGACGCCAGAAAUGUUGCAGCACUACUGAAUCAUUUGCACUAACAAUCGGAAUGUUUUGUCUUUUUCAAUAUUACCGGAUUAAAAUGAUUUGGUUUAAAGGUGUAACAGUGAGUAAAAAAACUGCACCCUCCACAAAUAUUUACUCCGGAUGUUAUACGGUUGUAAGUCGGGUUGAAAAGUAUGUAGUGAAAGACUGAAAGCAAUUUGGAACUAAAGGAAUCUCACGUUGUCGCUAUGAAUACUUAUCAGUCCUCACCCUCUAAGCACAGGAGACAAAACAAGCUCGGCCUCCGAUCUGCCGUGUAGGAAAGAAGAAGUUUAAUCAGUGAUCGUUCCCUUUUCUGGUUGCGCAACAGGAAAGGGAUUAUGUUCACGAGGAUCAUUGUCCCUGUGGUCCGUCAACAAAGGCGCGGGGAAUUCUCCCUGAUGUUUACCCGCUUUCAGGUUAGCGUUUUACUUCCUGUGUGGAUCAGUGUCAUUGGGUCCAGGUUUUAAUGGUCAAAGGUCAAUCUGAGUUCCCACAAUGGAUUUUUGGGCAAGUGUACAUAAGUGAUGACAAUUUCCUACAAUUGUUUUAUUGGAAAACAUUAAAAUGGUUGAGACAUGCAAACCGGUAAUUCUUCCGUCAUGACUUGAUGAGCGGUAAAAGUGAGAGUAUUCCUCGGUGAGAGCCGUUUAGCACAUGUUGAAACGAAUAUCCAGCACACGAUGUGGAAGCUGAACAAUGUGAAUCACGAUUAUCUGUCGCUGAGUCAGUCGGCCCUCAGCCGCGGGACUCCGCAGGCCGACAGCUCGUCAAAAUGAGUGCAAACCCACAUAAACAAACUGAACUACUGAACUCAAGGGUCCCAGGCACGUAAGAUAAGGAAAUACAAAAUGAUGAAAUUACACCUAAAAUAACACACCGUGCUCGUUACUAGAAAAAUGAAAUACCGUCUCAAGCAAAGGGACGUAGUCAUGGUCAGGGUGGAUUAAUAAAAGGUGGAUUAAUCAAUGCGGCUGCUGCUUCGGCUUUGAGCGGUGAAACAAAUCACCUCAUUAGACCGGAAUGGAGGAAACGGC
Gasterosteus aculeatus aculeatus (three-spined stickleback) is the source of this 1528-nucleotide long non-coding RNA. NCBI's taxonomy places the organism in Eukaryota, Metazoa, Chordata, Actinopteri, Perciformes, Gasterosteidae. The record is from Ensembl.